RNAcentral lists this long non-coding RNA (2765 nucleotides) under Homo sapiens (human). RNAcentral describes it as "cancer susceptibility 15". The record is from RNAcentral. Lineage: Eukaryota; Metazoa; Chordata; Mammalia; Primates; Hominidae.
GUGAAAAGAAAGAGAUGCCGAAUGCCGGGUGAUUGUCUGCCGCUUGCUGUGCAUUCUCAUUCUAGGGAGGAUGGCAUAAUUUAUAACCCAGCACAUGGAUAGAGGAACUGUAAAUUGUAGUCUGGAUGUCCCCGGCGCUGUCGACGAAGGAACUGAUGGGCUAGGCUCACAGGCAGAAGGAAUUUUCCUUGUCUUGGAUGAGACUUUUGACUUGGACUUUUGGGUUAAGGAUUUACAGAAAGCGUGGUGCUGGCAUCUGAUCAGCUUCUGGGGUGGCCUCAGGAAGCUUACAAUCAUGGUGGCAUUUGAAGUGGAAGCGAGAGAGAGAAGAGGAGAUGCAACACACUUUUAAACAAGAUUUCAGGAGAACUCAUUCACUAUGAUUCUACAUCUCCAUCCAUGGGCCACUGUUUCAGCAACCUCAGCCAGUGCAACACAACCUCAGCCAAGAAGAGUAUGCAGAGAAAGGAGUCCCCUACCUGCCACAAAACUGUUGUCUGAAAACUGUCUCAUAUUGUCUCAAGUUGUCAUUCAUUGUGAAUUAGACCUGUUUAACAUGUAAUCUGCAACAUGCUUCACUGUCUAAUUUUCCAGAGCCCCUCAUAUAAGGAACUGUAUUAUUGGUAUAAUCAUCAUGGUGAAGAAGUUGGUAUGUGGGGGAGAGAUGACAGAAACAGAGAGUAAGUCAGAGCUGGCUGCCUGACAGAUAAAAAGGAAAUGACCAAAAAAAAAAAAAAAGACACAGAAGAAUACUUUGUUGUCCACACAGAAAAGGGAAGUGUAGGUAAGACAGCAGUAGACUAAGAUUCUUAAGACUCAAGUUCUAGUCUUAUUUAUUAGCUAUGGGAGGCCUUGAGGGAGUUCUAGAAUUAAGUGAUCUCUCUUUAUAAAAUAGGAACAGUAAUAACUUCCUGGCUAACUCCCUGGCUGUCUCACAAUGCUGUAGUAGUAAGAAAUAAUUUUAUAAUUAAAGACUAUUUUAGGGCUGAUUACAUUUUUGGGCAGUGGCUCAUACAUGUAAUUUCAACAUUUUGGGAGGCCAAGGUGGGCGGAUUGCUUGAGCCCAGGAAUUCAAGACCAGGCUGGGCAACACAGACCUUGUCACUACAAAAGAAAAAAACAUUAGCUAGGCGUGGUGAUGUAUGCCUGUGGUCCCAGCUACUCAGGAAGCUGAGACAGGAGGAUCACCUGAGCCUGGGAGGUCGAGGCUACAGUGAGCCAUGAUCACACUACUGCACUCCAGCCUGGGAAACAGAGUGAGACUCUGUCUCAAAAAAAAAAAAAAAGGAAUAUUUUACACUUCAAGGUUCUAUACAAAUGUAAAAUAUCAUUCUAUUACUUAUUUAUAAUGCUGAUUAUUCUUUAAAUGACUUUAAAAUGUUAAUCUCUGCUUGAGCCUACGGAGAAGUAUGUAACAAAUUUGUGAAGGAUUGGCAUUAAACAUAGUCAAAAUAAAACAUAGAAAUUAUGGUAAAUAAUUUAACUGGUAAAAUAAUCUAAGUGGUAGUUCUCAGGUAAGUGGAAAUUCGAUUAGCUGAUUGUUUAGGAUUCUUGGUUAUAAGUGACAGAGACCUGACUAAAAGUACAUGAAGCACAUAACUGAGAAGGUUGUGGUAUGGCUCAGCAGAAAUGGGAAAAUCUUGGGACUGGUUCGUGUUUUAUUUACAUUAUCUUUGUUCCCAGGCAGUCUCUGCAUGUAAGUGGCAAAGAUGACUGUCUGAAAAUAUAUACCUACUUUUUUAAAGGGCUAUCUCAAGCCAUUCUGGAGAAGCACCAAAAGCCACUUUGCUUAUACUGGGAGAAUAGUUUGCUUUCCCUAAUUUGUGAUGAGUGAAACACUGAACAGAGACAUAGAAUAAUAUUCUGUAGUUCAGGGUUGGUGUAAUAUGGCCAGUGGGCGGAAUCUGGUCCUCAGACUGAUUUUGCAAAUAAUCUUAUAGAAACACAGCAACACCCAUUCAUUACAUGUUGUUUAUGGUUGCUUUGGGGUUACAAUGGCAGAGUUGAGUAGUUGUGACAGAGAUCACUAGGCUCACCACAUCUGAGAUAUGUACUGACUGACCCUGUACAGAAAGUUUGCUGCUCUUAGAGGAAUGUGUGUUUCUAGUGUCAGCAAUAAACUUCUUGGAUUUGUUUUGUUUUCUCAUCUUUACAUGAUAGUUGCAGACUAGUUGAUCCUUGUGACCUGUUUUUGAAUGCCACUGUGUAUUCUGUCAGGGCCCUCUGAUUCUGUUUCUUAUGGUGCUGAAUGCACAAUUUAAUGCCCUGGAAUUUCCUUCUGUCUUCUGCUAAACUCAUGCCUCUUCAGAUAGUUAAAAUCCUGUUCUACCUUAGAAGUCUCCAGAGUUAUUUUCCUAAAUUAAGAAGAACUGGCUUUGAAGUUACUCAUUAUGCCACACACAAUGGUUGAAAAGAGCAUCUCUUAUGUACUGUGUAUAUUUCAGCAUCCACUCAGCUUCUUAGGUAGAAAAGGAAGAGUCUUCCACAGUGUAUUUUAUCCAUAUUUGGGUCAGAAACUCUUCUUUACCACGGAGCGUGAUGGAAGAAAGAUAUGGGAUGGUAACAGUAGGCCAGGGAUGUAAUAAUCACAAAAUUUGAGAUAUUUUGUGACUGGUGACUCACGCCUGUGAUCCCAGCAUUUUGGGAGGCCAAAGCGGGCGGAUCACCUGAGGUCAGGAGUUCAAGACCAGCUUGGCCAAUGUAGUGAAACCUCAUCUCUACUAAAAAAAUAUAAAAAUUAGCUGGGUGUGGUGGUGCACACCUGU